RNAcentral lists this ribosomal RNA (853 nucleotides) under uncultured bacterium. RNAcentral's name for it is "bacterial SSU rRNA". It matches the Rfam family "Bacterial small subunit ribosomal RNA", at positions 524 to 1380 of the family's 1533-position model. The record is from RNAcentral.
UACGGAGGGUGCGAGCGUUACCGGGAUUUACUGGGUGUAAAGGGCGUGUAGGCGGUCUCUCAAGUCCGAUGCUAAAGACCGAAGCUCAACUUCGGGGGUGCGUUGGAUACUGUGAGGCUAGACGGUCGGAGAGGGUAGCGGAAUUUCCGGAGUAGCGGUGAAAUGCGCAGAUACCGGAAGGAACGCCAAUAGCGAAAGCAGCUACCUGGACGAUUUGUGACGCUGAGGCGCGAAAGCGUGGGGAGCAAACCGGAUUAGAUACCCGGGUAGUCCACGCCCUAAACGAUGAGUGCUGGGUGUCCGACAUCUGUUGGGUGCCGUAGCUAACGCGUUAAGCACUCCACCUGGGAAGUACGGUCGCAAGACUGAAACUCAAAGGAAUUGACGGGGGCCCGCACAAGCGGUGGAGCAUGUGGUUUAAUUCGAAGCAACGCGCAGAACCUUACCAGGUCUUGACAUCCACGGAACCCUGGUGAAAGCCGGGGGUGCCCGCAAGGGAGCCGUGAGACAGGUGCUGCAUGGUCGUCGUCAGCUCGUGUCGUGAGAUGUUGGGUUAAGUCCCGCAACGAGCGCAACCCUUGUUGCUAGUUGCCAUCAGUUCGGCUGGGCACUCUAGCGAGACUGCCUACGAAAGUAGGAGGAAGGCGGGGAUGACGUCUGAUCCGCAUGGCCCUUACGACCUGGGCGACACACGUGCUACAAUGCCUGCCACAAAGCGCUGCGACCCGGCAACGGGAAGCCAAUCGCAUAAAAGCAGGCUCAGUUCGGAUUGGGGUCUGCAACUCGACCCCAUGAAGCUGGAAUCGCUAGUAAUCGCGGAUCAGCCAUGCCGCGGUGAAUACGUUCCCGGGCC